RNAcentral lists this ribosomal RNA (239 nucleotides) under uncultured bacterium. RNAcentral's name for it is "partial 16S ribosomal RNA". It matches the Rfam family "Bacterial small subunit ribosomal RNA", at positions 94 to 334 of the family's 1533-position model. The record is from RNAcentral.
AGUGGCGGACGGGUGAGUAACGCGUGGGUAACCUGCCUCAUACAGGGGGAUAACAGUUAGAAAUGACUGCUAAUACCGCAUAAGACCACAGCACCGCAUGGUGCAGGGGUAAAAACUCCGGUGGUAUGAGAUGGACCCGCGUCUGAUUAGGUAGUUGGUGGGUAACGGCCUACCAAGCCGACGAUCAGUAGCCGACCUGAGAGGGUGACCGGCCACAUUGGGACUGAGACACGGCCCAA